CUUUUAGUAGCUAUUUAGCUUAUAUUUAGGGGUGAAAUGCAGAAAAAAAUGUAACCAAGAAAAAAUUGUAUGUUAAGCACCAAAUGGAUAAUACAGACUAUAGUCAAAUAUCUAAUGACUGAAUGAGACAAACUGAGAUGUAAACCAUUACUUAUCCCAUUUCAGAGAAACCAAAAUCGUGAUGGAGAGGCACACACAAUCAAAUCAUUAACAGGGGAAGUGAAAGCUACAGCAUUAGGAAAUGUGAAGCUUAUCAGGAGAAUAAAUAUGUAUGUGAAAUCUUAUACUGGAUUUUCCUGUUCCUCUUUCAUAAAAGAUGCCAGUUUUCAACAUUGACCUUGGGCAAGAUCAAAGCUCACCUGGGCUAAGUCAGCACACACUUGCUAAUCCUUAAGUAAAAAGAUACACUUGUGAACAGUAACACUCAGCCAAGCUCACAGACUCCACACACAAUCAG
Molecule: long non-coding RNA, 457 nt
Filed under: Bos taurus (domestic cattle)
Lineage: Eukaryota; Metazoa; Chordata; Mammalia; Artiodactyla; Bovidae
Description: long non-coding RNA NONBTAT012583
Source: RNAcentral